GACGAACGCUGGCGGCGUGCUUAACACAUGCAAGUCGAACGAGACGAUUGAAAGCUUGCUUUCAAAAGUCGAGUGGCAAACGGGUGAGUAACGCGUAGACAACCUGCCUUUGAGAUGGGGACAACAGUUCGAAAGGACUGCUAAUACCGAAUGUGGUAUAUUUUCCACAUGGAAGAUAUAUUAAAGAUGGCCUCUAUUUAUAAGCUAUCGCUCAAAGAUGGGUCUGCGUCUGAUUAGCUGGUUAGUGGGGUAACGGCCUACCAAGGCGACGAUCAGUAGCCGGUCUGAGAGGAUGAACGGCCACAUUGGGACUGCGACACGGCCCAGACUCCUACGGGAGGCAGCAGUGGGGAAUCUUCCACAAUGGACGAAAGUCUGAUGGAGCAACGCCGCGUGAGUGAAGAAGGGUUUCGGCUCGUAAAGCUCUGUUGUCGGGGACGAAUGUGCAGUAUUUGAAUAAAGUAGUGUAAUGACGGUACCUGACGAGGAAGCCACGGCUAACUACGUGCCAGCAGCCGCCGUAA
Molecule: ribosomal RNA, 524 nt
Filed under: uncultured bacterium
Lineage: Bacteria
Description: partial 16S ribosomal RNA
Rfam family: Bacterial small subunit ribosomal RNA
Source: RNAcentral